ACUUGAUUGCUACUUGCUGAAACCUGUUUCUCGAUAGAAUAAAUUUGAUCAAAAAUAUUAGAAUUAUCAAUAUUUGAUAUUAUAAAUACUUGUAUAAACUUUCUAAAGCUUUCAUUGCCUCGCGGUAUCCGGUCCCGCUCGUCCCCUUCCUUCAGUAUGAUACCAUUGUGUAAAGAAUAGGAUAGUAGGUUAACUUUAUGAGGAUAUCAUUUGACGAGGAGGACGUCACCAAUAGAUCGCAGUGGAGAGUUGGCGUUCACAGCACAUCUUUUCUUAUUGUACGUCGUAGCUUGAAUUACGUGUUUUCUUAGCUUUGGUUGCCGAAUUACCACAAUAACAGAUGGCGCCAAAAUUAUUUAAUUUUGGCGCCAUUUAAUUAUUCUUUAUACAAUGAUGAUACUGAUGUUACAUAUACAAAAUACAUAUUUAGUAAAUAAUCCUAAUAGUUUUCAAUAAUAAUUCUAACGUAACAAGUAUUAUUUUGAUUAAUUGUAAACAAUAAUGGCUAAAAUAAACGGACAUAGUAAAUACUCUUUUUGUAUAUCGUUUCAUAGAAACGAUGCUUGUAGAACGCCUUUUGUCUUUGUAACUGUAACACUUAUCAUUUGAGUUCACAUGGAACAAAGGAAUGUGAAUAUUAUUGUUAUUUAUGGAGAUUCAGUUAUUCAUGGUGAAGAAACAUAUUUUACUCAAUGGGAACAAUUAUCAUCGUUUAAUGAAAUCGAUACGAUAGCUACAAUUCAAAUAUAAUUUAAUUUGAAUUAUAAUCGAAUUCUUUAUAUUCAAUAUCAAGAAGUUGUCUUUAAUUUCCAUGGGCUAUAUACAUAAUAUUUUUUUCAAUUUUUGCAACUAAGUUCAAAUUUAGAUGCCACCAGUUUGACGUACAAAUUAGAAAAUGGGAAUUUUUCUUUGUUCGUAUAAUAAAAAGAAUUGAAAAAUGCGAUAAGGGCAAACCAGAAAUUGGAAGAAAUCAACGGAGACCCAAGAAAAGAAAUUGUGAUGAUAAAUACCGAGAAAAGGGGAUUACAAUCUACAUGCUAUUAAAGAGCAGGUAACUCAUUUCAAAAAUAAAUCUAAGGAAGGUGAUGUGUUGUCAAGUGAAAUUCUCAAAUUGAGGAAUAAGAUAACAGACUUUGAAAAUAUACAGGUGAUUAUAAACGGAUGUAGAGAUCAAGUAAAUUAUAUUUUGAGGGAAGAACACAAUAUUGAGUCUUUGGCCUUGUUAACUGAAAGAAAAGCCAAACAUCUAGAUUACAGCUUGUUGAGUGUCAGAAUGCGGACUUGAGUAUUCAAUCAUUAAAUUGAAUAAAAAUAUUACGGCCGAUAAGCAGAAAGUGCUACUUCUGAGAAAGCUCACAACGGUUCGGGGGUAUGGCACAGAGGAUAUCCAGACUCCCAAGGGAAAAACAAAA
Long non-coding RNA from Diorhabda carinulata, 1412 nucleotides. RefSeq lists it as uncharacterized. The transcript is spliced from 2 exons. The record is from RefSeq and is a predicted model, not a curated record. Lineage: Eukaryota; Metazoa; Arthropoda; Insecta; Coleoptera; Chrysomelidae.